UACGUAGGGUGCGAGCGUUAUUCGGAAUUACUGGGCGUAAAGCGUGCGCAGGCGGCUUCGCAAGUCAGGCGUGAAAUCCCCGGGCUUAACCUGGGAAUUGCGCUUGAAACUACGGUGCUGGAGUGCGGCAGAGGAAGGUGGAAUUCCACGUGUAGCGGUGAAAUGCGUAGAGAUGUGGAGGAACACCAAUGGCGAAGGCAGCCUUCUGGGUCGACACUGACGCUCAUGCACGAAAGCGUGGGGAGCAAACAGG
RNAcentral lists this ribosomal RNA (253 nucleotides) under uncultured bacterium. RNAcentral describes it as "partial 16S ribosomal RNA". It matches the Rfam family "Bacterial small subunit ribosomal RNA", at positions 524 to 776 of the family's 1533-position model. The record is from RNAcentral.